Molecule: non-coding RNA, 221 nt
Organism: Pelobates cultripes (western spadefoot toad)
Lineage: Eukaryota; Metazoa; Chordata; Amphibia; Anura; Pelobatidae
Source: the annotation of a GenBank genome assembly
CUACACAGUAACAACAGGUACAAUUUGGACAAUUAAAAUCCUACAUAGACGGUGCAAAAUAUGAUUUUGAAAAAUAUGAUUUUGAAAAGUCCCUAUUUAUUCUUAAGCUUUUUGAGUGUCAAGUAUCCAAUGUGUAUAUCCAAUAUAACUCAGGAAAAUUGAGGUCCUGGCGAAACUCUAUUUAAAAGUGUUCUAAAGGGGCCACAUACCCCAACACAGAU